Long non-coding RNA from Mauremys reevesii (Reeves's turtle), 302 nucleotides. RefSeq lists it as uncharacterized. The transcript has 4 exons. The record is from RefSeq and is a predicted model, not a curated record. NCBI's taxonomy places the organism in Eukaryota, Metazoa, Chordata, Testudines, Geoemydidae.
CUCAGGUUGCCUUUAUGCUUGAUGUGGGCAUGUGUCUACAGAUAAGAUUGUGAUUCUCUGUUAUAAACCUGAUGUUGAUCUUCUAUUCUUCUGUAUUGGCCAGAAUUGACCCAAAUUCCACCUUUUACUCAGACUGAUGGUAUCUUACUCAUUCAAAUCAUUGAGGUUACUCAGGAGCCUAGCUGAAAAGAACUCCAAGUUGCCAAGCAAGGGUCACAUGCUGCUUUUCUAUUCAGAGUUUUCAUCCCAAGCCCUCUAGGACCUCACCCAUCCGCCCUGAGUUCUCAAAGAUAACUGCCAAC